This 785-nucleotide ribosomal RNA is filed under the name uncultured Glomus. Its description in RNAcentral is "SSU rRNA". It matches the Rfam family "Eukaryotic small subunit ribosomal RNA", at positions 325 to 1111 of the family's 1831-position model. The record is from RNAcentral. Lineage: Eukaryota; Fungi; Glomeromycota; Glomeromycetes; Glomerales; Glomeraceae.
AUGGUAGGAUAGAGGCCUACCAUGGUGGUAACGGGUAACGGGGUGUUAGGGCACGACACCGGAGAGGGAGCCUGAGAAACGGCUACCACAUCCAAGGAAGGCAGCAGGCGCGCAAAUUACCCAAUCCCGACACGGGGAGGUAGUGACAAUAAAUAACAAUACGGGGUUCUUUGAAUCUUGUAAUUGGAAUGAGUACAAUUUAAAUCUCUUAACGAGGAACAAUUGGAGGGCAAGUCUGGUGCCGGCAGCCGCGGUAAUUCCAGCUCCAAUAGCGUAUAUUAAAGUUGUUGCAGUUAAAAAGCUCGUAGUUGAAUUUCGGGAUCAAUACGUCGGUCGUGCUUUCGGGUACGUACUGGCGUCAUUGGUUUCUCCUUUCUGACGAACCAUGAUGUCAUUAAUUUGGUGUUAUGGGGAGUUAGGACUGUUACUUUGAAAAAAUUAGAGUGUUUAAAGCAGGCAUUAGCUUGAAUACAUUAGCAUGGAAUAAUGAAAUAGGACGUUCGAUCCUAUUUUGUUGGUUUCUAGGAUCAACGUAAUGACUAAUAGGGAUAGUUGGGGGCAUUAGUAUUCAAUUGUCAGAGGUGAAAUUCUUGGAUUUAUUGAAGACUAACUACUGCGAAAGCAUUUGCCAAGGAUGUUUUCAUUAAUCAAGAACGAAAGUUAGGGGAUCGAAGACGAUCAGAUACCGUCGUAGUCUUAACCAUAAACUAUGCCAACUAGGGAUCGGAUGAUGUUAAUUUUUUAAUGACUCAUUCGGCGCCUUACGGGAAACCAAAGUGUUUGGG